RNAcentral lists this long non-coding RNA (1502 nucleotides) under Equus caballus (horse). RNAcentral describes it as "lncRNA (ENSECAG00000047957.1)". Lineage: Eukaryota; Metazoa; Chordata; Mammalia; Perissodactyla; Equidae. The record is from RNAcentral.
CUAGAAACCCCACAGGAGGGAAGGAUGGGGAGCGGGGUCUGGCUGGCACUCUUCCUUCCUCUUCCCCCUCACCUGCUGCUUUGCCCUGAAGCAGCAGGUGCCCUGCCCCCUGUCCUGUCCUUUUUGGGGCGCUAGGUGUCAGGUCAGAUGUCAUACUCCAUAUGCUGUUGUAAAGCAGCCAUCAAUGCCAUCAGUGAGUGGAACUUCGUUCCGGCUUUCAUGGGGGUCUCUGCGUGACGAAUCUUCUGGAUGUGGGCUGCCUACUCUCUGACGCCCUCAUAGGACCUUCCUUUUGAUCCUGUUCCUCAGGAUACUCCACAAGUGGCCAACAUGGUACCAUCAAGACAUCUUGAGCCUGGCUCCCUGCCACGGCAUAUGUGGCUCACAGGAGGUCUUGUUACAUCAGAAUGAGGUAGUGUGGGUUGCUCGCUGCCACCCUCUCCCCUCACCUUAGUGUAGAGGGCCGCCCUGGCCCACCUCCUGCCUCCAGAGUUUCUCCAGGUGAGAAGUGGACCGUCACAGGCAUAUGCGAAGCCUUGCUGAAACCCCUCUGUGGCUUCCUACGGCCAGCGCCUGUGACUCUCAUCUUGAGGGUUUUCUCUGGUGUUGAUAGUGUGGCUGCAUGUGUUAGGGGAGUUGACACCCUGGAGCAGCCCUCAACCGAAGAUGGACAGGAGUUGGUGGCUCCGUGACCAUGCCUCACUUCAGUUCCAUGUCCUUGGACUCGAAGGCGUUCCUCUUUGCACAUAGAAUCAGGGAGGAGGAGGCCCUGCGGCUGCUGGAACAAGGGAGUCGUACAGGAGGCACUGGAGAAAGUGAUGCAGCCAUUUCCCAGGGCUGCUCCUCAUUGUUCAUGUAAGAAAAGGAGCUGCAUAUACAGAUUAGCCUCGUCUGGAAAGGAGGCGGAAGGCCGCGAUGGAGCCCGGAGGAGGCCCAGCCUGGGGUCACUGCGCCCCAGCAGCUCAGAAGCCUGCAACAGGCCGGUGGCUUCACUGAAAGGGACCGUCAGGCGCCGUGGUGGGGCCAGAGCGGUCUGAGGGGGAUUUAGAGCAGCAGUGUCCAAAAAAACUUUACACAGAGAUGGACGUGAUCCAUCACACUGGCUGUCCGGUACAGGAGCCGCCAGCCACGAGUGACUUUUGAGCACUUAAAAUGUGGCUACUGUGACUGAGGAACUGAAAUUGUAAUUGUAUUUACUUUUAAUUAAUUUAAAUUUAAAUUCAAACAGCCACAUGUGGCUAGUUGCCCCAUACUGGACAGGAGAGAGGCAGAGCAUGUUCCAGACGGCGGGCUCUGGAAGAUAAGCCCCUGUGGGGUCUUGGCAGGUGACAUCAAAUUCAGUGAGGUUACUAGGCAAACAAGCAAAAAUCCUGUCUUGCAUUUUUCUUGCCACCUGCUGCCCUCUUGGCCCAUCUUUGGUUUUCCCGCUUUCGAGAAACAGCGGGGAAACGGUAGCCCUGGUUCCUGGGUGACCCCUCGGGGCUGUCCCAGGGACCCACAUU